RNAcentral lists this transfer RNA (73 nucleotides) under Nanobdellota archaeon. RNAcentral's name for it is "tRNA-Thr". It matches the Rfam family "tRNA". Rfam says of the family: Transfer RNA (tRNA) molecules are approximately 80 nucleotides in length. Their secondary structure includes four short double-helical elements and three loops (D, anti-codon, and T loops). Further hydrogen bonds mediate the characteristic L-shaped molecular structure. tRNAs have two regions of fundamental functional importance: the anti-codon, which is responsible for specific mRNA codon recognition, and the 3' end, to which the tRNAs corresponding amino acid is attached (by aminoacyl-tRNA synthetases). tRNAs cope with the degeneracy of the genetic code in two manners: having more than one tRNA (with a specific anti-codon) for a particular amino acid; and 'wobble' base-pairing, i.e. permitting non-standard base-pairing at the 3rd anti-codon position. RNAcentral also lists the same sequence under 1 other name. Lineage: Archaea; Nanobdellati; Nanobdellota. The record is from RNAcentral.
GCCCGUGUAGCUCAAUUGGCAGAGCAACUCUUUUGUAAAGAGUAGGUUGUCGGUUCGAGUCCGACCAUGGGCU